GACGAACGCUGGCGGCGUGCUUAACACAUGCAAGUCGAACGCUGAAGCUCAGCUUUUGUUGGGUGGAUGAGUGGCGAACGGGUGAGUAACACGUGAGUAACCUGCCUCCUUCUUUGGGAUAACGCCCGGAAACGGGUGCUAAUACUGGAUAUUCACUGGUCUUCGCAUGGGGGUUGGUGGAAAGGGUUUUUCUGGUGGGGGAUGGGCUCGCGGCCUAUCAGCUUGUUGGUGGGGUGAUGGCCUACCAAGGCUUUGACGGGUAGACGGCCUGAGAGGGUGACCGGUCACAUUGGGACUGAGAUACGGCCCAGACUCCUACGGGAGGCAGCAGUGGGGAAUAUUGCACAAUGGGCGCAAGCCUGAUGCAGCGACGCCGCGUGAGGGAUGGAGGCCUUCGGGUUGUGAACCUCUUUCGCUCAUGGUCAAGCCGCAACAAUGGUUGUGGUGAGGGUAGUGGGUAAAGAAGCGCCGGCUAACUACGUG
Molecule: ribosomal RNA, 483 nt
Filed under: uncultured bacterium
Lineage: Bacteria
Description: partial 16S ribosomal RNA
Rfam family: Bacterial small subunit ribosomal RNA
Source: RNAcentral